GCGGUUGCACUCCCCUCUUCGGAGGGUUGUCGCCGCGGAGCGUCGGCCCCUGGGCUGGGGCUCUCACGAGCCGCUUUCCAGGUCCGGCGGGCGCCUCCCUUGGGCUCACCCCCUGGGGCUGGCGUCGGCCAAAACCCCUGUAUCCAACCCUUUUUUUAACACACCCCAAACCACAACCAACUCUGAAGCAUCUUUGGUGGCCCGGCCCCGUGCCGUCCACUCCAAACCAAAGACAACUCUCAACAACGGAUAUCUUGGCUCCCGUAUCGAUGAAGAACGCAGCGAAAUGCGAUACGUAGUGUGAAUUGCAGAAUUCCGUGAACCAUCGAAUCUUUGAACGCAAAUUGCGCCCGAGGCUUCGGCCGAGGGCAUGUCUGCCUCAGCGUCGGCUUACCCCCUCGCCCUCCCCCACCCUGUGCGGUGGGGUGCAGGUGCGGACCUGGCCCUCCCGGCUCCGCCUGCUGCGUUUUCACAGCUGGCGCCCGGGUUGGCUGAAGCCCAGAGGCUUGAGCAUGGACCCCGUUUGUAGGGCAAUGGCUUGGUAGGUAGGCACCCCCUACGCAGCCUGCCGUUGCCCGAGGGGACUUUGCUGGAGGCCCCGCAGGAAUCCGGCCCGCCUUUGCGGGCGGCCGGAGCUUACUCCUUCGACCUGAGCUCAGGCAGCCU
RNAcentral lists this ribosomal RNA (666 nucleotides) under Chlorella sp. 2 CFR 3-01/FW. RNAcentral describes it as "eukaryotic LSU rRNA". The stretch from base 235 to 388 matches the Rfam family "5.8S ribosomal RNA". The record is from RNAcentral. Lineage: Eukaryota; Viridiplantae; Chlorophyta; Trebouxiophyceae; Chlorellales; Chlorellaceae.